RNAcentral lists this long non-coding RNA (2386 nucleotides) under Homo sapiens (human). RNAcentral's name for it is "HSALNT0313303". Lineage: Eukaryota; Metazoa; Chordata; Mammalia; Primates; Hominidae. The record is from RNAcentral.
UCAAGUAAACAUUUUUGUUUCCACAGUGAUAAGCUUCUUUAUUUAGUUAAGAAUUACAUAUUAGAAUCUGCUAUGUAUGAAAGGACACACAUCUAAAUUAUAUAAGCGUAAGAAUAUUUUCAUCAAAUACUGAUUCAGCAUGUCUCUUCAGUUAUAUGUUGUAUAUGAGUUUAUUAUAAAAUGACUUCUCUUGAAUUUCUUUCUUAUUGAAGCUUAACCUUUAUGACAUCGCCAAAAAAUGUUGAGCCAUUCUUCAUAAGCUUAUCCAUUUCAGGCAUUAGCUAAAUGUCAUUUGGUGGCUUCUGUUACAUGAAUGUUGAAUCAGUAAGAGAAAUUAUCUGAAGUGGAUUUGAAGACUCUUCCUUUGAUUCUAGUGAAGAGAUCCUUUAAGACCCUGAGAAAACAUGUGGCAAUUCUCUGUGAAUUUGGAAAGGAAGCAUUCACCUAUGAAAGAAAAUGCUUCCAUCAGGUACUUCAAGGUUGAAGAGGCAGAGGACGAGUUAUCCACAAGGAAUUUGGAAGAGAAGCUUGUUUCAAAGUUGGAUGAGCCAUGAUUGAGGUUUUCUUGUAAUCAGCAAGCAAAAUAAAAACAAAAACAAGACAUGACAGAAAAAAAAAAACCAGUAUGUAAGUAGACGAAAUGACUUCCUGUUGGGGAGGUGUUUGACUGCGUGGGGGUGCACAUAAUCAAAAUCAUCAAUCCUACCCAAGCAUGACACUGGCAUAAAACACUACCAAAUGAUGACAUCCUGUUAUUCCUGCAUAAAAGAGAACAACUACCAAAUAAAUCAUUGUGUGGAAAAGAAUUGAUUUGGGAAUCAAUUGUCUGGGAAAGAAAAUCACAAAGAAGUGAUUGUGAAGACAUUCAUUUGUUCUUCAGAUAUGUAACUGUUUAAUCUGAAGUAAACUUUGGGAUGGAAAACUAUUAGGAACGUUUCUUGCUUAAUUUUGCCAUUGUACGCUCUGAUAUUGAUUGUUCAGGAUUAUUGAGCACACAUGCUGUAAUGAGAAUUGUAUAUAAUUUACUAUAUAUACUUACAUAUGAUAGACAUUAAAGGAUAUAUGUGUCUAGUAAUAGCAGAUGCAUGUUUCUGCCCACUAAAGAAAUGGUUGCAGCUUUUAAUAAAUAUGGCUAAGGGAAUGAUGUUAAGAUUACGUGUGUGUGUGUGUGUGUGUGUGUGUGUGUGCAUGCACAUAUUGUUCUGGAUUUCAAAUGAGUAUACAAAAUUAUCAUUAUCUUACACCACUUGCAUUGGGAUCUUCAGUUUUUCCUUCAAGAAGUGAAUUAUUAAUAAUAUAUUUAACUUUUAGAGUAUUAUUGUGGUAGGACUCGCCAGUUUCUUGCUACAACAUCUAUUCAUCCCUUUCUCUUUAGAAACAAACUAGAAUUUUUAUAUUGCUUCCCAUAAUAAAAAACAUAUUGCCUUCCAGAUUUUGCAGCUAAAUUUGGCUAUGGGACUAAAUUCUGGCCUUGAGUUGUUUAAGAGAGAUACUUGUGAGAGUUCUCUGAAGAUUGGUCAAAGGAAACUAACUCAGAUGGAAGAUCCAUUUGCCCUCCUGCCUUUCCUCUUAGCUUUUAGCCUGAAAAUCAGUGGUGAUGGCUGGAGAGCCAAUAGCCAUCUUGGAACACGACGUGAUUCUGAAGGUGGGAAGCAAGGCUGGGAUGGUACAGAAUAAAGAUAGGAACUUGGGUCCUUGAGAAAAUUGUGGAGCCACCAUAUCUACCUGUAAUUCCUACUUUCAGACCUUUUUCUAUGUGUGAGAGAUUUAUCUUAUUUAAGUCAUUGUUAUUUUUGUUGUUAAUACUGUUGUUGUUAAGCUAGCAUUCUAGUUGAGCCCAAGCUAGGACUCAGAGUCUGGUUAUAUCUGAUGAGCCCCUGGAUCAGCAUCCCUCAAUGCCAACUAUUAAAUGUAAUGGGUUAAUGAUGAAUGGAACUCUAUUUCACGUAACAAAGAACAACUUGUUAUGCCCAAAUAUUACGAGGUCAUAUUGCUCUUAUUUCUCUCUAACCUGAGAUUUGGGUCCGUGUUCUCUAUGAGAAAUUAGAAAUUUCUGUUGUGGUAUUCUGUUUUUGUGUUAGGAUCGUCACUGUAAAUCUACUUAAUAGUAAAAAUAAAAUCUUGCUUGGAAUUGUGAAUUAAAUGAAUUCUCCAUUGUGCAGAAACAGGAACAGCAUUAUAUUUUGUAUGUAAUACUCUUAAACAGUCAAUUCAUUUAUUCAAUUAAUAUUUUUGAGCUAUUAUGGGUUACAUAAGUUAUGGAGGGGCUUUGUUAUUUAGUCAACUCAUGUCCAAUAUCACAGGGGUCAGUUGUGAAUUUGGAAAAAAUAGAAGAAAAGAAAAAUUAAAGCAAAUGACAAAAGUCUAAAUAUUUUCCUCAAAUAAU